This 443-nucleotide ribosomal RNA is filed under the name uncultured bacterium. RNAcentral's name for it is "partial 16S ribosomal RNA". It matches the Rfam family "Bacterial small subunit ribosomal RNA", at positions 338 to 795 of the family's 1533-position model. The record is from RNAcentral.
CCUACGGGGGGCAGCAGUGGGGAAUAUUGGGCAAUGGGCGCAAGCCUGACCCAGCAACGCCGCGUGAAGGAAGAAGGCUUUCGGGUUGUAAACUUCUUUUCUCAGGGACGAAGCAAGUGACGGUACCUGAGGAAUAAGCCACGGCUAACUACGUGCCAGCAGCAGCGGUAAUACGUAGGUGGCAAGCGUUAUCCGGAUUUACUGGGUGUAAAGGGCGUGUAGGCGGGAAAGCAAGUCAGAUGUGAAAACCAUGGGCUCAACCUGUGGCCUGCAUUUGAAACUGUUUUUCUUGAGUACUGGGGAGGCAGACGGAAUUCCUAGUGUAGCGGUGAAAUGCGUAGAUAUUAGGAGGAACACCAGUGGCGAAGGCGGUCUGCUGGACAGCAACUGACGCUGAGGCGCGAAAGCGUGGGGAGCAAACAGGAUUAGAUACCCCUGUAGUC